UACGGAAGGCAGCAGUGGGGAAUAUUGCACAAUGGGCGCAAGCCUGAUGCAGCCAUGCCGCGUGUAUGAAAAAGGCCCUUCGGGUUGUAAAGUACUUUUCAGUCGUGAGGAAGGUGUUAAGGUUAAUAACCUUAGCAAUUGACGUUAGCGACAGAAGAAGCACCGGCUAACUCCGUGCCAGCAGCCGCGGUAAUACGGAGGGUGCGAGCGUUAAUCGGAAUUACUGGGCGUAAAGGGCACGCAGGCGGUUAAUUAAGUUGGAUGUGAAAUCCCCGGGCUUAACCUGGGAAUGGCAUUCAAGACUGGUUAGCUAGAGUCUUGUAGAGGGGGUAGAAUUCCAUGUGUAGCGGUGAAAUGCGUAGAGAUGUGGAGGAAUACCGGUGGCGAAGGCGGCCCCUGGACAAAGGACUGACGCUCAUGUGCGAAAGCGUGGGGAGCAAACAGGGAUUAGAUACC
Molecule: ribosomal RNA, 456 nt
Filed under: uncultured bacterium
Lineage: Bacteria
Description: bacterial SSU rRNA
Rfam family: Bacterial small subunit ribosomal RNA
Source: RNAcentral